GAAAUAUGUAAUUCAAAAUGAAACUUCUAAUUUCAACUUUAAGCGAUGAAACUUCGUUUAUAUUUCU
RNAcentral lists this transfer RNA (67 nucleotides) under Aquatica lateralis (Japanese firefly). RNAcentral's name for it is "tRNA-Ser". Lineage: Eukaryota; Metazoa; Arthropoda; Insecta; Coleoptera; Lampyridae. The record is from RNAcentral.